This 495-nucleotide ribosomal RNA is filed under the name uncultured bacterium. Its description in RNAcentral is "partial 16S ribosomal RNA". It matches the Rfam family "Bacterial small subunit ribosomal RNA", at positions 28 to 507 of the family's 1533-position model. The record is from RNAcentral.
GACGAACGCUGGCGGCGUGCCUAAUACAUGCAAGUAGAACGCUGAAGGAGGAGCUUGCUUCUCUGGAUGAGUUGCGAACGGGUGAGUAACGCGUAGGUAACCUGCCUGGUAGCGGGGGAUAACUAUUGGAAACGAUAGCUAAUACCGCAUAAUAGUAGAUGUUGCAUGACAUUUGCUUAAAAGGUGCAAUUGCAUCACUACCAGAUGGACCUGCGUUGUAUUAGCUAGUUGGUGGGGUAACGGCUCACCAAGGCGACGUUACAUAGCCGACCUGAGAGGGUGAUCGGCCACACUGGGACUGAGACACGGCCCAGACUCCUACGGGAGGCAGCAGUAGGGAAUCUUCGGCAAUGGACGGAAGUCUGACCGAGCAACGCCGCGUGAGUGAAGAAGGUUUUCGGAUCGUAAAGCUCUGUUGUAAGAGAAGAACGAGUGUGAGAGUGGAAAGUUCACACUGUGACGGUAACUUACCAGAAAGGGACGGCUAACUACGUG